AUACGGCCAUAUCACGUUGGAACAUCGGUUCUCGUAAGAUCACUGAAGUUAAGCAACGUCAAGCCAGAUCAAUACCUAGAUGGAUGACCACUUGGAAAUACCAGGUGCUGUAAG
RNAcentral lists this ribosomal RNA (114 nucleotides) under Acanthosepion pharaonis. Lineage: Eukaryota; Metazoa; Mollusca; Cephalopoda; Sepiida; Sepiidae. The record is from RNAcentral.